CGUAACUUCCCAACUUCGAUAUUCAAUGCCAUGACUGAUGAAGGAUGUGGGUGUUGCUGACUGUGCUAACGUUUAUUGCCCAUUCCUAAUAAACCAUAGAGGGUGGCAGUGAGCAGCCUUUUUGAACUGCUGCAGUCCUGGAAGGGAGAUUGAUGGGGCUGGAGAGGAGCGACCUCGGCAGAAGAUCUAGCAUCGGCUUCUUUGAGGUAUCUUGGGAGUCAAACUGGUGAAAGUGCAGGAAUUUAAGCUGGAAAAUGUGGAAUGUCCUCUAAACUUCAGUAAAAUAACAUUCAUUCUCUUGACUGGUCACUGGUGACAACCAUGACAAUCUGCUUGACUAUAUUAAAAGCAAUGCAAGACAGAAGCAUUGUAAGGCUAAACAGUCUGAAUGAUGCACCAACAUGCAAAAAGCCAAGGAAAGGCAUAGGUGCUGUUAGAUUCCAAUAGGAACAAAGUGUGUUGUGCAUGAAUAACGCGAGAGAAGAGCCCAGAGAAGCAACCCAUUCUGAUGCAUAUGUUCGGCGUCUUUCAGUGUACAAAUUGGCUUGGCAGCAGCAUUAUAAUGAAAGGUAUCAAGGCACUCUGAAAUGCACUUCAAAUAUGGUGAACUGUUUUCUAAGUGAGUAGGGGAUAUGCCAUGAUAAUACGGUGAGGCUGGUUUGUGUCCAAUGUCAACCUCCAUGGCCAGUCCAUGCCCAAGCAGGCGAUCCCUCGAUGCUAAGGAAUGCUGGUCAAGAUGGAAGCCUAGAGGAGCAGUCAUGAGCUGGGGUUGCCGGGCAGCUGCUCAAGCCUCCGUGUCAGGAAUUGUUGCUGUAACUUUCUCUCCACUGCCUUGGACUACAACAAACUGCAUAUAAAUGAGGCAGUAAUAAUGAGAUGGCGAAUGCAUGUAAAUAGCCACUUGCUAUGUAGAAACAAGGUUCUUGCUUCAUUUGGGUGGAAGAUCAGACUUAUUUGCUUAACAUUUAGAAUUUUAUUUUGCCAUUCUUUUCAUAUGGGGCUGGGAAAAUUCCAGUCACAGAGAUUGAAAUGACUUAAACUCACAGCCAAGAUGGCUAUUUCCAUUUCCAUUAUUAUACAUUUCAUAUUCUGAUUCAUUCUGUCUGCAAAACUCAACAAAGACAAUGACUUCAAGAAGCAUGAUGGACUCGCAUCUCCUGUCUCAUUAGUGAGGCAUCUGCGCAAUCAUCUGAGUUGUUCACCUCUUGGAGAUAAGUCAUUAAGAUGAGUUGCUUGGACAACGAAAUCUUGGCUAACACGUGGCUUUCAAGUACGAAUUAAGGACAUCAUCUUUGGAAUAUACAGGCAAUCGUUGUUUUUGAUCCCUCUGGCAGUUGUGGAAGGCAGAUCACAGGAAAGUCAUCACUGUUGUAAAUUUUAAUCAUGUGUUUCUCCAGCAGAAACAAAGCUUUAGGUUUAAAGAUUUAAAUGGGGUCCCCCCUGCCAGCCAUUGGCAGCCUGCUAUUGGGGUAAAGUCCUGCCACACCAGUCAUCUUUUCUAUAAUGGAUCUAAAGGUCUAUUCAAUUAACAGUAGAAAGGGUUGAAUUGUUAAUUAGUCUUUACAAGAAGAGUUGCUUAUCUUAACAAUAAGGUUUUCGUUGGUACCUGAUAAAAAUACGUACAAAUUAUAUUAUCAUAUUGGACAUAGCCAGAGAUGUCAUGUCUAAUCCCAUUAGCAUAUAAAGCUGGACUCCUUGAUUCUCUGUCCACGGUGUGACAUCAUCAGAUUGGGUGGAGCCUUAUGCAGUCUCCAAAAUUAACCUUUUCAGACACAUUCCCUUCUACAGACAGCCUCCUUCACUCUUCAACUCACCUGGCAACCCAUGUUGGGGAGUGAGUUUAAAUUCUGUUUUCUGACUAUGAACAUUUAGUGAAGUUCUACUGCAGAAAGAAAUCUAUUACAAGAAUCCAGCUGAGCAGUACAGCCUCCAGUGGAAUAAUCAACUCAAUCAUCGAUGUCUUCAAAUUAGAAGCAGCAAAGCUAUUGAAUCUGUUCUGAAGCCAGAUGAGACACCAAAUUACAGGCUUAUCCUCUUUUAAGACUUUUUAUAAUUUGACCACCUUAUGUAAUGAUUGUAUGACCCCACUCCGGAAUUUGUAUGUGAACUCCAAC
Molecule: long non-coding RNA, 2114 nt
Organism: Stegostoma tigrinum
Lineage: Eukaryota; Metazoa; Chordata; Chondrichthyes; Orectolobiformes; Stegostomatidae
Exons: 3
Source: RefSeq, a predicted model, not a curated record